UACAGAGGGUGCGAGCGUUGUCCGGAAUCACUGGGCGUAAAGGGCGCGUAGGCGGCCUGAUAAGUCGGGGGUGAAAUCCUGUGGCUCAACCACAGGGCUGCCUCCGGGACUGUCGGGCUCGAGCACAGUAGAGGCAGGUGGAAUUCCCGGUGUAGCGGUGAAAUGCGCAGAUAUCAGGAGGAACACCGAUGGCGAAGGCAGGUCUCUGGGCCACUACUGACGCUGAGAAGCGAAAGCGUGGGGAGCGAACAGG
Molecule: ribosomal RNA, 253 nt
Filed under: uncultured bacterium
Lineage: Bacteria
Description: partial 16S ribosomal RNA
Rfam family: Bacterial small subunit ribosomal RNA
Source: RNAcentral